Molecule: long non-coding RNA, 287 nt
Filed under: Coffea arabica (coffee)
Lineage: Eukaryota; Viridiplantae; Streptophyta; Magnoliopsida; Gentianales; Rubiaceae
Description: long non-coding RNA (CARA_LNC007444)
Source: RNAcentral
AGUUGUGAAGGACCCCUCUCCUCCCUCUAAUGAUGCUUAAUUGAUGAUUAGUGGUGGUAUAAGAUGCAACUUUAUGGAUUAUAUUGUGAUUUUUGGUUGAAUUGGUGAAAUUUUAUAAUUAUUGGGGAUUUUUCUGUUUUAAUAUGAACAUGAUUGUGUGACUAUAUAUGAUGAUUGGAAAUGAUGUUUAAGGACUCUAUGAGGUGGAAAAAGUGGUUAAUUGCAAACAAUUUCUGUUUUGGAAGAAAUCUUGGAAAGUUAGGGUUUGAUGUUCUUCAUUCUGCCCG